This is a non-coding RNA of Podarcis lilfordi (Lilford's wall lizard), 278 nucleotides long. The record is from the annotation of a GenBank genome assembly. Lineage: Eukaryota; Metazoa; Chordata; Lepidosauria; Squamata; Lacertidae.
GCAUAUGAGGGCAAUCUGGCUGCAACAUCUGUCACCCCAUUGAUCACGAGGGUUCAUUUAGCUGAUCUGGAUGGCUAGCUGAGUGUCCUCUCUCACCGCUUCAUGUACAUGCCUGCCAAAGCUGCAUGCUCAGUGGAAGAAAACAAUCUUCCCUAAUAGAAGGGGAUGUGAUGGUCAAGGAUAUAUUAUAGCUGAACUCCCCAGCUAAAACCUCCAAACAUCCUGCAAGAAAAUGCUGGUUUCAAGCUGCUCUUUCCAGAAGUGGACCUUUCAAAUCU